RNAcentral lists this ribosomal RNA (2930 nucleotides) under Proteus mirabilis. RNAcentral's name for it is "23S ribosomal RNA". It matches the Rfam family "Bacterial large subunit ribosomal RNA". The record is from RNAcentral. Lineage: Bacteria; Pseudomonadati; Pseudomonadota; Gammaproteobacteria; Enterobacterales; Morganellaceae.
GGGUUGUGAGGUUAAGCGAAUAAGCGUACACGGUGGAUGCCUAGGCAAUCAGAGGCGAUGAAGGACGUGCUAAUCUGCGAAAAGCGUCGGUAAGGUGAUAUGAACCGUUAUACCCGACGAUAUCCGAAUGGGGAAACCCAGUAUCCAAUGGAUACUAUCAUUAACUGAAUCCAUAGGUUAAUGAGGCGAACCGGGAGAACUGAAACAUCUCAGUACCCCGAGGAAAAGAAAUCAACCGAGAUUCCCCUAGUAGCGGCGAGCGAACGGGGAACAGCCCAGAGUCUUAAUCAAUAGCAGUGUCAGGAGAACGGUCUGGAAAGUCCGGCAGUAAAGGGUGAUAGCCCCGUAUCUGAAGAUGCUGUUAUUGUGAACUCGACGAGUAGGGCGGGACACGUGUUAUCCUGUCUGAAUAUGGGGGGACCAUCCUCCAAGGCUAAAUACUCCUGAUUGACCGAUAGUGAACCAGUACCGUGAGGGAAAGGCGAAAAGAACCCCGGCGAGGGGAGUGAAAAAGAACCUGAAACCGUGUACGUACAAGCAGUAGGAGCCUCUUUAUGGGGUGACUGCGUACCUUUUGUAUAAUGGGUCAGCGACUUAUAUUCUGUAGCGAGGUUAACCGUAUAGGGGAGCCGUAGGGAAACCGAGUCUUAACUGGGCGAAUGAGUUGCAGGGUAUAGACCCGAAACCCGGUGAUCUAUCCAUGGGCAGGUUGAAGGUUGGGUAACACUAACUGGAGGACCGAACCGACUAAUGUUGAAAAAUUAGCGGAUGACUUGUGGAUGGGGGUGAAAGGCCAAUCAAACCGGGAGAUAGCUGGUUCUCCCCGAAAGCUAUUUAGGUAGCGCCUCGUGAACUCAUCUUCGGGGGUAGAGCACUGUUUCGACUAGGGGGUCAUCCCGACUUACCAACUCGAUGCAAACUGCGAAUACCGAAGAAUGUUAUCACGGGAGACACACGGCGGGUGCUAACGUCCGUCGUGAAGAGGGAAACAACCCAGACCGCCAGCUAAGGUCCCAAAGUCAUGGUUAAGUGGGAAACGAAGUGGGAAGGCUCAGACAGCCAGGAUGUUGGCUUAGAAGCAGCCAUCAUUUAAAGAAAGCGUAAUAGCUCACUGGUCGAGUCGGCCCGCGCGGAAGAUGUAACGGGGCUAAACCAUGCACCGAAGCUGCGGCAGCGACACAAAGUGUUGUUGGGUAGGGGAGCGUUCUGUAAGCCUGCGAAGGUGUACUGUGAGGUAUGCUGGAGGUAUCAGAAGUGCGAAUGCUGACAUAAGUAACGAUAAUGCGGGUGAAAAACCCGCACGCCGGAAGACCAAGGGUUCCUGUCCAACGUUAAUCGGGGCAGGGUGAGUCGACCCCUAAGGCGAGGCUGAAAAGCGUAGUCGAUGGGAAACGGGUUAAUAUUCCCGUACUGGUGGUAACUGCGAUGGGGGAACGGAGAAGGCUAGGUUGUCCGGGCGACGGUCGUCCCGGUUCAAGCAGGUAGGCAGAGUGAUUAGGCAAAUCCGGUCACUUAAUGCUGAGAUGUGAUGACGAACCACCAAGGUGGUGAAGCAAUUGAUGCCCCGCUUCCAGGAAAAGCCUCUAAGCUUCAGGUUACCAACAAUCGUACCCCAAACCGACACAGGUGGUCAGGUAGAGAAUACUCAGGCGCUUGAGAGAACUCGGGUGAAGGAACUAGGCAAAAUGGUGCCGUAACUUCGGGAGAAGGCACGCUGGCGGUAAGUAAAGUCCCUCGCGGACGGCGCUGAAGCCAGUCGAAGAUACCAGCUGGCUGCAACUGUUUAUUAAAAACACAGCACUGUGCAAACACGAAAGUGGACGUAUACGGUGUGACGCCUGCCCGGUGCUGGAAGGUUAAUUGAUGGGGUUAGCGCAAGCGAAGCUCCUGAUCGAAGCCCCAGUAAACGGCGGCCGUAACUAUAACGGUCCUAAGGUAGCGAAAUUCCUUGUCGGGUAAGUUCCGACCUGCACGAAUGGCGUAAUGAUGGCCAGGCUGUCUCCACCCGAGACUCAGUGAAAUUGAACUCGCUGUGAAGAUGCAGUGUACCCGCGGCAAGACGGAAAGACCCCGUGAACCUUUACUAUAGCUUGACACUGAACAUUGAGCCUUGAUGUGUAGGAUAGGUGGGAGGCUUUGAAGUGUGGACGCCAGUCUGCAUGGAGCCAACCUUGAAAUACCACCCUUUAACGUUUGAUGUUCUAACCUAGGCCCAUAAACUGGGUCGGGGACCGUGUCUGGUGGGUAGUUUGACUGGGGCGGUCUCCUCCUAAAGAGUAACGGAGGAGCACGAAGGUUGGCUAAGCAUGGUCGGACAUCAUGCGGUUAGUGCAAAGGCAUAAGCCAGCUUGACUGCGAGAGUGACGGCUCGAGCAGGUACGAAAGUAGGUCUUAGUGAUCCGGUGGUUCUGAAUGGAAGGGCCAUCGCUCAACGGAUAAAAGGUACUCCGGGGAUAACAGGCUGAUACCGCCCAAGAGUUCAUAUCGACGGCGGUGUUUGGCACCUCGAUGUCGGCUCAUCACAUCCUGGGGCUGAAGUAGGUCCCAAGGGUAUGGCUGUUCGCCAUUUAAAGUGGUACGCGAGCUGGGUUUAGAACGUCGUGAGACAGUUCGGUCCCUAUCUGCCGUGGGCGUUGGAAGAUUGAGAGGGGUUGCUCCUAGUACGAGAGGACCGGAGUGAACGCACCACUGGUGUUCGGGUUGUCAUGCCAAUGGCAUUGCCCGGUAGCUAAGUGCGGAAGAGAUAACCGCUGAAAGCAUCUAAGCGGGAAACUUGCCUCGAGAUGAGUCUUCCCUGUCGCUUUAAGCGACCUAAAGGAACGUUUAAGACUAAGACGUUGAUAGGCUGGGUGUGUAAGCGUAGCGAUACGUUGAGCUAACCAGUACUAAUGAACCGUGAGGCUUAACCUGACAACACCGAAAGUGUUUUG